UAAAAAUAAGGUUGUCAUUAAUUUUACGUUUGGGGAAAACGAAGAAUAAAACAACAGACACGUGUUAACAUCAGGAAAGCAAUAAUUGAGAUCUCACAAGUUUGAUUUAUAAAUUUAAAAUUGUGUUUAAUGUAAAACAAAAAAAAAAUUACCCGGAAUGCGUGUGGAACUAUAGAACUAUGAGAGGGAAAUCUUCUUCGAUGAAAAAGGUGAAAGAUGUUAUAUGGGAACCGCGCACGAAGUGCAAACGAAAGUGCACUUCAGAAAUUUCUAUUAUAUCAUUACUUUUUGUAAGGUUCAGCAAUGUAUUGUGGUUUUCAACGGAGGUCCCGUCAUCGUGGAAGUUUGUCAAUAUCGUGUAUAGAAUUUUGG
Teleopsis dalmanni is the source of this 372-nucleotide long non-coding RNA. RefSeq lists it as uncharacterized. NCBI's taxonomy places the organism in Eukaryota, Metazoa, Arthropoda, Insecta, Diptera, Diopsidae. The transcript has 3 exons. The record is from RefSeq and is a predicted model, not a curated record.